RNAcentral lists this ribosomal RNA (484 nucleotides) under uncultured bacterium. Its description in RNAcentral is "partial 16S ribosomal RNA". It matches the Rfam family "Bacterial small subunit ribosomal RNA", at positions 29 to 507 of the family's 1533-position model. The record is from RNAcentral.
AUUGAACGCUGGCGGCAUGCUUUACACAUGCAAGUCGAACGGCAGCGCGGGCUUCGGCCUGGCGGCGAGUGGCGAACGGGUGAGUAAUACAUCGGAACGUGCCCAGUAGUGGGGGAUAGCUCGGCGAAAGCUGGAUUAAUACCGCAUACGACCUGAGGGUGAAAGCGGGGGAUCUUCGGACCUCGCGCUAUUGGAGCGGCCGAUGGCAGAUUAGCUAGUUGGUGGGGUAAAGGCCUACCAAGGCGACGAUCUGUAGCUGGUCUGAGAGGACGACCAGCCAAACUGGGACUGAGACACGGCCCAGACUCCUACGGGAGGCAGCAGUGGGGAAUUUUGGACAAUGGGCGAAAGCCUGAUCCAGCAAUGCCGCGUGUGUGAUGAAGGCCUUCGGGUUGUAAAGCACUUUUGGCGGGAACGAAAAGGACUGUGCCAAUACCACGGUUCGAUGACGGUACCCGCAGAAUAAGCACCGGCUAACUACGUG